Molecule: ribosomal RNA, 425 nt
Filed under: uncultured bacterium
Lineage: Bacteria
Description: bacterial SSU rRNA
Rfam family: Bacterial small subunit ribosomal RNA
Source: RNAcentral
GGGGAAUAUUGGACAAUGGGCGAAAGCCUGAUCCAGCAAUGCCGCGUGAGUGAUGAAGGCCUUCGGGUCGUAAAGCUCUGUCGGAGGGAACGAAUGUUUCUGAGGUUAACAGCCUCAGGAAGUGACGGUACCCUCAAAGGAAGCACCGGCUAACUCUGUGCCAGCAGCCGCGGUAAUACAGAGGGGGCAAGCGUUGUUCGGAAUUACUGGGCGUAAAGGGCGCGUAGGCGGCCUUCUAAGUCGAACGUGAAAUCCCCGGGCUCAACCCGGGAACUGCGUCCGAGACUGGAAGGCUCGAAUCCGGGAGAGGGAUGUGGAAUUCCAGGUGUAGCGGUGAAAUGCGUAGAUAUCUGGAGGAACAUCGGUGGCGAAGGCGGCAUCCUGGACCGGUAUUGACGCUGAGGCGCGAAAGCCAGGGGAGCAAA